Molecule: ribosomal RNA, 472 nt
Filed under: Phenoliferia glacialis
Lineage: Eukaryota; Fungi; Basidiomycota; Microbotryomycetes; Kriegeriales; Kriegeriaceae
Description: partial large subunit ribosomal RNA
Rfam family: Eukaryotic large subunit ribosomal RNA
Source: RNAcentral
CGAGUGAAGCGGGAAGAGCUCAAAUUUGUAAUCUGGCACUUUCAGUGUCCGAGUUGUAAUCUCGAGAAGUGUUUUCCGCGCCGGACCGCAUACAAGUCUGUUGGAAUACAGCGUCAUAGUGGUGAGAACCCCGUAACUGAUGCGGAUGCCCGGUGCUUUGUGAUACACUUUCGAAGAGUCGAGUUGUUUGGGAAUGCAGCUCAAAUUGGGUGGUAAAUUCCAUCUAAAGCUAAAUAUUGGCGAGAGACCGAUAGCGAACAAGUACCGUGAGGGAAAGAUGAAAAGCACUUUGGAAAGAGAGUUAACAGUACGUGAAAUUGUUGGAAGGGAAACGCAUGAGGUCAGACUUGCUAUUUGGAAUUCAGCCGCAAGGUGUACUUUUCAAUUCGCAGGCCAGCAUCAGUUUUCGGGGGUGGAAAAGGGUAGAGAGAAGGUAGCUGUUUCGGCAGUGUUAUAGCUCUUUGCUGGAUUC